ACUCCUACGGGAGGCAGCAGUAGGGAAUCUUCCACAAUGGGCGCAAGCCUGAUGGAGCAACACCGCGUGAGUGAAGAAGGGUUUCGGCUCGUAAAGCUCUGUUAGUUAAAGAAGAACACGUAUGAGAGUAACUGUUCAUACGUUGACGGUAUUAACCAGAAAGUCACGGCUAACUACGUGCCAGCAGCCGCGGUAAUACGUAGGUGGCAAGCGUUAUCCGGUAUUUAUUGGGCGUAAAGAGAGUGCAGGUCGGUUUUCUAAGUCUGAUGUGAAAGCCUUCGGCUUAACCGGAGAAGUGCAUCGGAAACUGGAUAACUUGAGUGCAGAAGAGGGUAGUGGAACUCCAUGUGUAGCGGUGGAAUGCGUAGAUAUAUGGAAGAACA
This 383-nucleotide ribosomal RNA is filed under the name uncultured bacterium. Its description in RNAcentral is "bacterial SSU rRNA". It matches the Rfam family "Bacterial small subunit ribosomal RNA", at positions 335 to 708 of the family's 1533-position model. The record is from RNAcentral.